Molecule: ribosomal RNA, 274 nt
Filed under: uncultured bacterium
Lineage: Bacteria
Description: partial 16S ribosomal RNA
Rfam family: Bacterial small subunit ribosomal RNA
Source: RNAcentral
AGCGAACGCUGGCGGCAGGCUUAACACAUGCAAGUCGAGCGGGCACCUUCGGGUGUCAGCGGCAGACGGGUGAGUAACACGUGGGAACGUGCCCUUUGGUUCGGGACAACUCCGGGAAACUGGAGCUAAUACCGGAUAAGCCCUUGGGGAAGAUUAUUGCCAAAGGAUCGGCCCGCGUCUGAUUAGCUAGUUGGUGAGGUAAUGGCUCACCAAGGCGACGAUCAGUAGCUGGCUGAGAGGAUGAUCAGCCACACUGGGACUGAGACACGGCCCA